AAUUGAUCGGGUCUUGCAUCUACAAAUGAAACGGUAAUUCAAAUCUUAUUCAUAUUGCCAAAAAUGCUUGAUAUCAACUGAUAGAAGCUUCUCUUGCUAGGGAUUUAAACAUGUCAUUGAACAGUGAGGCUUAGAUUUGAAUAGCCAAAACAAUAUUACUUUUGAGUGGUAUUUUGUUUAAUUUUGGUAAAGUUAGCCGUAGGCUACUUCUGAAUUUGAGAAACAACACUUAUUAAAAAAUUGACUUUAACCAAACCAUAGGAUUAUUUGAACAUCGACUAUCCAAGAUGGUUUUGGUGAGUUUUAUUUUGUUUGUGUCGACUUUUAAUGAAAAGUGUUUUACAAACAGUUAACAAGAAAAUAAAGCUAAUUGUAGUUUGGUUAAAGUUGAAAAGUCAAGGCUUUGCAUUUUUCUUUUUAAACGCCAAAUUGGUGUGAAAAUAUUGUCCUUCUGGACUCUUUGUGAAUGCAAUGUGUGUACUAGUUUGUGGGAGUACUACUACAUAUGUAAAAAGAGAGGUGUAAAUAUUUUUUUGGCUCAAAGGAAGCUGCAUGUAAGCUACGUGUGACAACAUGGAGUUAAAAAGAUAAAUUGUUACCCUUAAAAUUUUGAAUGUUAAAUCUAUUUAGAAGUUUGAUUGUAGGUACCUCGUUCACGUCUUGGUUACAUUCCACCUAGUGUUUACUAAUUAUUGUCCUUUUUAUAAAUUUUCUUCUUAAAAAUCUUAUUAUGGUAAGGAUAAUGUAUUUGUUCCCUUCAGGUAUCUGCCACUGCAGCUGACGUUGAGACAACUCUCAGUCUUCCUGCAAGUCCUCGCCUGAUACCUGUUUCAAGUGCAACAAGGCAAGUCACAAUUAAGGGUUGGAUGAUCACCUUUAAGGGCUCUGAGGGCAUCACACCAACAUUUGCAAUUGGACUUGCUGCUAUGUUUGCAACCUACUACAUUUUCAGCCUUCAGUAUCAAGAUGAGACAGCCUGCCCUCUGGAAUUCAUUCAGAGGCACUUCAUUGAUAUAAAUCAAGAGAGAGGAACAAAUGCCAAAAUCAUCAGACAAGAUUGUCUCUAAGAAGAAAGGUGUGAUCGUCCAGAAGUCGUCUUCUGCAGUUAAAUACACACGUGGCCAUGCUACUGAAGAAUCUCCUUGACUUUUUAUUGGAACUUCAUAUAGAUCGUGGCAGCACUGGAAUAAUGCUGCAGAGAGGAACAGCGGCUACUAAAGUGAUGAUCGUCUCUUCUGGAUCCACAAGAACUAAGAUGUAAAAACACAAACCUUCCUCACAGGACAAUUUUAAGAGGUAACCUGCAAGUCUAGCUUGCAGUGGCACAUGUGCCUAUACGGUUUCAUCCUAAAUGUUUUUUAUGCUUAUUAUUGAUACAUCCUGACAAAAUGUUCUACUGUACUAUAAUAGUUUCAAAAUGGCCUUAGGUAUGUUUUCAAAAAGUAAACUAUAGGUUAUGCCCUUCACAUUUGGUUAGGAUUAGGGGCAGUCUCUGACGAGCAAUUUAAGAACGUACGUUUAUUGCCAUAGUCUAAAGCAAGAAACUACUGUUUCUGUUUACUACUAGAAAGCUUUUUCAACAUUGUCCAACAGGAUUUAUUUUCUUUCCUUUUUUGUAUUCAUGUUGACAUUGACAUUUCUCUUUGAAAUAAAGGUGUUUGAUUUGAAAGUUUUUGUUGCUUAUUUUGCAUAAUAUUCACAAUAAUGCAUAUCUUAAGCAGUUGUCUUUAGCCCUGGGAAUUCAUUGGGCAAGUUCAUGGGAGACUGAUAUUUUAAAUAUCAAUGAAGAAUUUUUAGAGACUAAAUUUAUGUUAUUUCAAAAA
This is a non-coding RNA of Paramisgurnus dabryanus, 1823 nucleotides long. The record is from RefSeq and is a predicted model, not a curated record. Lineage: Eukaryota; Metazoa; Chordata; Actinopteri; Cypriniformes; Cobitidae.